ACUUAAAAAUGAAUUUUAGUUCAACUAAAAGCAUAUAUACCACUAAAAAGGUUAAAUAAAGCUUUUAUUAUAAUUAAUUAGGGUACAGCCCAACUAAUACAGGAUACAACCUUAAUAAAUGAGUAAAGAUUAUAAUAUAUAAAAUUAACACUGUAGGCCUAAGAGCAGCCAUCAAAAAAGCGUCAAAGCUUAACUUUUAAGUAUUACUCGUAUUAAAAUAAUCUUAUCCUCUUUCCUAAUAUUAAGUAAGUCUAUAAAAUAGAAAAUUUACUGUUAAAAUGAGUAACAAGGCCUCUUCCUCUGUAAUGCAAGUGUAAGUCAAUCUCCUUAACCAUUAAAAUUCUCUUCCACAAGAAAUUAAAUAUAAUAAAACGUCGACCCGACACAGGAGCAUUUAAGAAAGAUUUAAAGUUUGAAAAGGAACUCGGCAAAAGGGGCCUCGCCUGUUUACCAAAAACAUCGCCUCCUGUUUAAUUAAUUUAGGAGGUACUGCCUGCCCAGUGACACCCGUUUAACGGCCGCGGUAUAAUGACCGUGCAAAGGUAGCAUAAUCACUUGUCUUUUAAAUAAGGACUUGUAUGAAUGGCAAGACGAAAACCCAACUGUCUCCUCAAACUUAUCAGUGAAAUUGAUAUCCCCGUGCAAAAGCGGAGAUAAAUUUAUAAGACGAGAAGACCCUAUGGAGCUUAAAACCUAAAUUAAUAUUUAUGUAGUCUAAUUUAAAGCUUUAAGCUUUAGGUUGGGGCGACCACGGGGAACAAUAAAUCCCCCGAGAUAUAUAAUUAAGAAAAAUACUUCAAAGUAACACCAUAGUUGAUAUAAUUGACCCAAUAAUUGAUCAACAAACCAAGUUACCCUAGGGAUAACAGCGCAAUCCUCUCAUAGAGUCCAUAUCGACGAGCGGGUUUACGACCUCGAUGUUGGAUCAGGACUACCAAGUGGCGCAGCAGCUACUAAAGGUUUGUUUGUUCAACAAUUAAAAUCCU
RNAcentral lists this ribosomal RNA (986 nucleotides) under Plethodon welleri (spot-bellied salamander). RNAcentral describes it as "partial large subunit ribosomal RNA". The stretch from base 386 to 986 matches the Rfam family "Archaeal large subunit ribosomal RNA", at positions 1423 to 2666 of the family's 2987-position model. The record is from RNAcentral. Lineage: Eukaryota; Metazoa; Chordata; Amphibia; Caudata; Plethodontidae.